AUGACCAAAUCACCCCCGUGGUGGACUUGGAGUUGGCUGUACUAGCCUCUCUUAAAAUCAGUGGCGGUGCUCUUAAAGCUCUACGCGUAGUAAUUUUCUCGCUACAGGGUCUUGAUUGUACUUGCCAACAACCCCAACUUAUCAUAAGGUUGACCUCGGAUCAGGUAGGGAUACCCGCUGAACUUAA
This 187-nucleotide ribosomal RNA is filed under the name iceman fungal clone T2709. Lineage: Eukaryota; Fungi; Ascomycota. The record is from RNAcentral.